RNAcentral lists this ribosomal RNA (254 nucleotides) under uncultured bacterium. RNAcentral's name for it is "partial 16S ribosomal RNA". It matches the Rfam family "Bacterial small subunit ribosomal RNA", at positions 556 to 793 of the family's 1533-position model. The record is from RNAcentral.
UUACUUGGGGCGUAAAAGUCGCAUGCAGGUGGUUUUGUUAAGUCAGAUGUGAAAAGCCCGGGGCUCAAACCUCGGAAAUUGCAUUUGAAAACUGGCAAAACUAGAGUACUGUAGAGGGGGGUAGAAUUUCAGGUGUAGCGGUGAAAUGCGUAGAGAUCUGAAGGAAUACCGGUGGCGAAGGCGGCCCCCUGGACAGAUACUGACACUCAGAUGCGAAAGCGUGGGGAGCAAAACAGGAUUAGAUACCCUGGUAG